RNAcentral lists this ribosomal RNA (497 nucleotides) under uncultured bacterium. RNAcentral describes it as "partial 16S ribosomal RNA". It matches the Rfam family "Bacterial small subunit ribosomal RNA", at positions 28 to 507 of the family's 1533-position model. The record is from RNAcentral.
GACGAACGCUGGCGGCGUGCCUAAUACAUGCAAGUCGAGCGAUGAAGAUUUGUUCUUGCACUAAUUUGGAGGGCAGCGAACGGGUGAGUAACGGGUGGUGAAUCUUCCUUUGAGCGGUGGACAACGUUUGGAGACGAAAGUUAAGACCACAUGACAACUUUAAACAUAUGUUUUAAGUUUUAAAGAUGCGAUUGCAUCACUCAAGGAUUAUCCCGCGUUGUAUGAGCUAGUUGGCGAGGCAAAGGCUGACGAAGGGGAUGAUACAUAGCCGACCUGAGAGGGUGAUAGCCCACAUUGGGAGUGAGACAGGGACCAUAGUACUACGGGAGGGAGCAGUAGGGAAUCUGAGGCAGUGGACGAGAGUCUGACCGAGCAAGGCCGAGUGAGUGACGAAGGUUCCCGGAUGGUAAAAAUCUGUUGGUAGAGAAGAACGUUUGUGGGAGUGGAAAGAGCAUCAAGUGACGGUACCUACACAGAAAGCGACGGCUAACUACGUG